This 174-nucleotide transfer RNA is filed under the name Ginkgo biloba (maidenhair tree). RNAcentral's name for it is "tRNA-Asp". The stretch from base 101 to 174 matches the Rfam family "tRNA". Lineage: Eukaryota; Viridiplantae; Streptophyta; Ginkgoopsida; Ginkgoales; Ginkgoaceae. The record is from RNAcentral.
AAUAAUAGAAAGAGAAAAAGGAUAAAGAUCCAAUCUCUCAUCGAUUUGGUACUAACAUAAUCUCGAUUCCUAAUCGAAUAGCAAGUGGACUGUACUUAUUGGGAUUGUAGUUCAAUCGGUUAGAGUACCGCCCUGUCAAGACGGAAGUUGCGGGUUCGAGCCCCGUCAGUCCCG